Streptomyces afghaniensis 772 is the source of this 126-nucleotide small RNA. It matches the Rfam family "Streptomyces RNA 3920". From Rfam's summary of the family: Identified by deep sequencing of transcriptome at the end of exponential growth phase. Sequencing size consistent with northern blot size. Streptomyces specific. Lineage: Bacteria; Bacillati; Actinomycetota; Actinomycetes; Kitasatosporales; Streptomycetaceae. The record is from Rfam.
GAUAGGUCUCUGUCGCUACUGUGAUUGGACACUGACAGAGAGUCAACUAGCCUUGGUCGCGCGGUUCUUGCGCGCGGAACCGGGGGACGGUCCGAGCCACGAGGGGGGAGGCUCGGACCGUCCGUG